AUUGAACGCUGGCGGCAGGCCUAACACAUGCAAGUCGAGCGGUAACACAGGGAGCUUGCUCCUGGGUGACGAGCGGCGGACGGGUGAGUAAUGUCUGGGAAACUGCCUGAUGGAGGGGAUAACUACUGGAAACGGUAGCUAAUACCGCAUAACGUCGCAAGACCAAAGAGGGGGACCUUCGGGCCUCUUGCCAUCAGAUGUGCCCAGAUGGGAUUAGCUAGUAGGUGGGGUAACGGCUCACCUAGGCGACGAUCCCUAGCUGGUCUGAGAGGAUGACCAGCCACACUGGAACUGAGACACGGUCCAGACUCCUACGGGAGGCAGCAGUGGGGAAUAUUGCACAAUGGGCGCAAGCCUGAUGCAGCCAUGCCGCGUGUAUGAAGAAGGCCUUCGGGUUGUAAAGUACUUUCAGCGGGGAGGAAGGCGUUGUGGUUAAUAACCACAGCGAUUGACGUUACCCGCAGAAGAAGCACCGGCUAACUCCGUGCCAGCCGCCGCCGUAA
RNAcentral lists this ribosomal RNA (503 nucleotides) under uncultured bacterium. Its description in RNAcentral is "partial 16S ribosomal RNA". It matches the Rfam family "Bacterial small subunit ribosomal RNA", at positions 30 to 523 of the family's 1533-position model. The record is from RNAcentral.